RNAcentral lists this ribosomal RNA (460 nucleotides) under uncultured bacterium. RNAcentral describes it as "partial 16S ribosomal RNA". It matches the Rfam family "Bacterial small subunit ribosomal RNA", at positions 338 to 795 of the family's 1533-position model. The record is from RNAcentral.
CCUACGGGCGGCAGCAGUGAGGAAUAUUGGUCAAUGGGCGCAAGCCUGAACCAGCCAAGUCGCGUGAGGGAUGACGGUCCUAUGGAUUGUAAACCUCUUUUGUCGGGGAGCAAGGCCCGCCACGUGUGGCGGGAAGGAGAGUACCCGAAGAAAAAGCAUCGGCUAACCCCGUGCCAGCAGCCGCGGUAAUACGGAGGAUGCGAGCGUUAUCCGGAUUUAUUGGGUUUAAAGGGUGCGUAGGCGGAAGGUUAAGUCAGCGGUCAAAUGUCGGUGCUCAACACCGGCCUGCCGUUGAAACUGGUCGUCUUGAGUGAGCGAGAAGUAUGCGGAAUGCGUGGUGUAGCGGUGAAAUGCAUAGAUAGCACGCAGAACUCCGAUUGCGAAGGCAGCAUACCGGCGCUCAACUGACGCUGAGGCACGAAGGCGUGGGGAUCGAACAGGAUUAGAUACCCUGGUAGUC